This is a non-coding RNA of Zea mays, 109 nucleotides long. NCBI's taxonomy places the organism in Eukaryota, Viridiplantae, Streptophyta, Magnoliopsida, Poales, Poaceae. The record is from Rfam.
ACCCUAGUAUUCACCUCAAACCACAUGUGUUGAGGUGGAUUGGGGUGUAAAUUAGUUUAAUUUACACCCCAAUCCACCUCAACACCUGUGGUUUGGGAUGAAUUCUAGG